Molecule: small RNA, 117 nt
Filed under: Marmota monax (woodchuck)
Lineage: Eukaryota; Metazoa; Chordata; Mammalia; Rodentia; Sciuridae
Source: RNAcentral
GCUGGGUGUGGUGUUGCACACCUGCAGUCCCUGCUAUUCAGGAGGCUGCGGUGGAAAAUUCUCUUGAGCCCAGGAGUUUGAGGCCAGCCUGGACAAUGUAGGGAGUUCACAUCUCAA